CGUACAGUUCAGUCUGUUCUAAGCACAAGACAAGACACCAUACAUCAGGUUUACAGAAGGACAGCAAAAAGACACAAGUACGAGACAUCAGUUGUACAAAAUGAAAGCUAAAAUAUCCAAUUGACGCGGAUCGCCGGCUUCAUGGUUCAUUUCCUUAUGUUUGCUUCCUACAGAAGUUAAAGAAGUCUCAAUUAUUAGAAUGUUCAAUUAAUUUAUAAAAUUGAAUACAGGCAGAAUUCAUAUCUGCACUGUGCACACACAAGAGCACAAAAUGAGGAAUACACUUACCUAAUCUAUAAAAGUAGCAUUUCAGAACAUGAACACCACCAAUCGACUCCCAGCAGUGGCCAUGGAUGUGGAAUGGAAGCCCUUUGUACGAUUGCUGAUCAUUUAGUGUUCCUAGGGACAUACUUAAGUUAUUGUGCAUAUGUACCAGCACCCAAUAUUCUAACACUUGUUUCCAAAAAAUAAAUGUCCGUAGGGAAUACAGUGUCAUAGGUAUGAGAGAAAUAAAAAUGAGUUGUGCGAACCACCAAUAUUUGCAUUACUAUUACAGCCAUACAAGGAAAAAUAUAUCGGAAAUUUAAAAUUACUAUCUCAAAUGUAGAACCAGGUUACACAUUUCUUUUGCAAUUUACAAAGGCAUAACCAGCAUCUGUAUGAUAACUAAAUAUAUGUACACUGCUAAUUAUUCUAUACGUACAGAUUAUAAAUACUAGGUUAUUCCUGAUACUUACUGACUAAUAGCUCAUGGGUGGGCGCCUUCUUCAUGGCUGGGUAGAAUGGAAAAAUUAUGCGUGCUGCCAUAUUGAAAUAUAGUUAGUCAAGAUCUUUUUUUAGGGAUAGUUAGUCAAGAUCUUGAUAAAGAUACAAUUUACUAUAUUGGCCUAGAAACAGGAUUCAGAAAUAGCAACUUUAAAAGCAAAUACCGAUGUAUUAUGCUCUGUUCUGUACUAUGGAUGUGCUAAUUGGAGUGUUCUGUAAUUCCAAAUUAAAAUAUUACUAUUAAGCAAUAAGCAGCUACCAGUGUAAACAAGAUACAAUGUUCUGAUAAAUUUAACUAUAAUUAACAGCAACUAGCAGUGUUCUGUACUAAUGGCAGAAAGUAGGCUCUGUAGCCGUAUACCAUAAACCAUAUUGUAGUCUUCAAUAAAACACAGGGAAACCAAUUAAAUGAAAGUAGGCUCUGUUUCACUUCUCUUUUAAUUGAGCAAUUAGUUCUUUUGAUGGAGAGAUCAAGUUAAUGCUGACCAAGAACUAAAAGUGUAAAACAAUGAUAAACUUAUGUACCGAUUGGCUCGUCAAGCUAUUGUGAAUUCAAGUGUCGCAAAUACUACAUGGUAAGUCUACAGACUUGCUGGUUCUUUACCAUUUGACCAGAGCAGAUAGGCAAAUGCUAACACAUCGCUUGCUGGUUCUUUACCAUUUGCUGGUUCUUUACCAUUGAACCCUGCAAACUUCAGGGUGUCAAUGGUUUGAAGUAGAAGUAACAAGUGUAUCUAUAAUAUUCAGUUGGUUUGGUACACACUUAAAACUUUAGAAAAUCUCCAGAGAUAGACUUGUUUUAACUUCUAAAUGGUAUCAGAACUGACGCAAAAUGUCCAGCCAACUGUUUGACAUUCAUUUUGUAACCUAUCUUAUUAUUCAAAAUGGACCGCAAUAUAGUAGUAUGAAUGUACGUCAGUCUGAUGGUGUGGUUCUUCUAUUCAUUGGAAGAAAAGUACAAUCGUGCUUGUGCUUUCAUAUGCUAAUCACAAAUGAGUAAGGAUGAUUGAUAGAUGAGCAACUAGAAAAGCCCUAUGUACAUCUUACCUGGCUACGACGCAAUUGUGCAUAAAUAGAAGCAGCUUCUUGAAGAAUCCUCAGUUCUUCCUCUUGUUCCAGAUUUAUGUAAAUCAAUUCAAUUGCACCCUCACAUGUUAACAUGUUGGUAGGUUUGAUUAUUGAGUUCUCUAUCGAAUAUUUCUGCAAUGCCGUCGCACAAAAAUGGAUGUAUUCAUUACACUUAUUAUAAAGAAAAAUAUAGUAUCUCCCGAACAAAAUAAUAAUGGAUGCAUGUACAUCAAUCAUCUAUUCAUUACACUUACUAUAACAACAUUAAUCAUGUAUACAACUGAAAUAAUAAAAUAGGUACUUACCCUGGAACCACCAAAUUCAUGUAUCAUGGUAAGUACCUAUUUUAUUACCAAUCCUCAAACUUAACAAAGUAUGCAGACUCACUUAUAAAUCAAGGAGUUGGUCAUCUUUAGUGGCUAAUGUCUAUGAUGCAAAAUUUAUUUCAACUAGUUACUGACCACAAAGACAAAACAAUAAUCAAAACUAGGUUUCAUCACUUGCAUGCUCAAAAAAUAAGAUUUGCCAUAUCAUUCAUGAUGAUAUGACCACAUAAGGAAAAACAAGCAACCUGGCAUAACCUCAAUUACGCAGCGGAAGUGAGAAUAAGAAAAAAGAAUGCAAAAAAAGAAACAUAGUCAAAUAGUAUGACAAAACUCAAGAUGUGUCAAAAUACUCACCUAUACAAAACCAGUCAGACCUUACAAAAGUUGGUUGAUAAGUGUUGCUAGCAGAUCUUGCAGCUCUGUAAAAAGUAAAGAGCCAAAGGUGAAAUUGCAGUUAUGUCAAGUCAAAGAAUGUAGUACUGCUUUGAAAGAACA
This 2654-nucleotide long non-coding RNA is filed under the name Triticum aestivum (bread wheat). RNAcentral describes it as "long non-coding RNA (TAES_LNC011904)". The record is from RNAcentral. Lineage: Eukaryota; Viridiplantae; Streptophyta; Magnoliopsida; Poales; Poaceae.